RNAcentral lists this ribosomal RNA (460 nucleotides) under uncultured bacterium. RNAcentral describes it as "partial 16S ribosomal RNA". It matches the Rfam family "Bacterial small subunit ribosomal RNA", at positions 338 to 795 of the family's 1533-position model. The record is from RNAcentral.
CCUACGGGUGGCUGCAGUGAGGAAUAUUAGUCAAUGGACGAGAGUCUGAACCAGCCAAGUAGCGUGAAGGAUGACUGCCCUAUGGGUUGUAAACUUCUUUUAUAUGGGAAUAAAAUGUUCCACGUGUGGGAUUUUGUAUGUACCAUAUGAAUAAGGAUCGGCUAACUCCGUGCCAGCAGCCGCGGUAAUACGGGGGAUCCGAGCGUUUUCCGGAUUUAUUGGGUUUAAAGGGAGCGUAGGUGGGUUGUUAAGUCAGUUGUGAAAGUUUGCGGCUCAACCGUAAAAUUGCAGUUGAAACUGGCAGUCUUGAGUACAGUAGAGGUGGGCGGAAUUCGUGGUGUAGCGGUGAAAUGCUUAGAUAUCACGAAGAACUCCGAUUGCGAAGGCAGUUCACUGGACUGCAACUGACACUGAGGCUCGAAAGUGUGGGUAUCAAACAGGAUUAGAUACCCUUGUAGUC